Molecule: long non-coding RNA, 789 nt
Filed under: Homarus americanus (American lobster)
Lineage: Eukaryota; Metazoa; Arthropoda; Malacostraca; Decapoda; Nephropidae
Description: uncharacterized LOC121875822, transcript variant X2
Source: RNAcentral
CCUAUGAAGCAAGACGUGUGUGUGUGUGUGUGUAUGUGUGUGUGUGUGUGUGUUUUACCAUCAUACAGUAGUUGUGACAGAGGCAGUAAAGAGGUCGGAUUGUGGUAGUAGUAGUGGUGGUAGUUGUGGUUGUAGGAUGGAGGUGGUUGUAGUGGUGAAAAUACUCUGUUUAUUAAGUGUUUCAUACACCGCAUCUGCUGAGCAUAACUGCUCCAAGUGGGUGACAACAGGAGUGGAUGAUACCUGGUCAGGACACCAAUUUGAAGCGCCAGUACCUACUUACCUGUACUUUCGAGGGCAGGAAAGUGAGGCAGUAACUAAUCUACAUAUAUGGUAUUAUAAGAAUCACUCAGAACAUUUCCUCACCACUCAGAAGUUAAUUUAUAAGAUCUCAGGUAAUCAGGUCUUUCACAUGGCUACAAUCAGAUCACAGAACCACCACAACACGACAAGAGCCCAGCUGUUUAUCAAUCCUCAACACCAAUUACUCCUGGGUCAAGGGUCGUUACAUAGUUUGAUCGUAACAAGCAAUUCGACUGUCUUAUGGCGAGGCUGUUACCAACCGGAUCUAUAUGGUACAAGCCCAGGUGCUACAUGCACAGGUACAAGCCCAGGUACUACAUGCACAGGUACAAGCCCAGGUACUACAUGCACAGGUACAAGCCCAGGUACUACAUGCACAGGUACAAGCCCAGGUACUACAUGCACAGGUACAAGCCCAGGUACUACAUGCACAGGUACAAGCCCAGUGUAUGCCUCGUGGUCUGGGUCAACCAGCGCCGCCAUACA